GCUAACCCAAGCCCAUCCAACUACCAAAACAAAUAUUUCAUCAUCACUAAUCCAAAACAUUCACUUCUCUCAGUAUAGGUGAUAGAACAGUUAACUAGGCGCAAUAACGCAAGUACCGCAAGGGAAAAAUGAAAGAUCAGUUAAAGCACUAAAGAGCAAAGAUUAAAACUUUUACCUUUUGCAUAAUGAUUUAGCCAGCAAAAUCGGACAAAAAGAAUUACGCCCGCCUCCCCGAAAUCAAGUGAGCUACUAUAAGACAGUUGCCAGAACCAACUCGUCUAUGUAGCAAAAUAGUGAGAAGAUCUUAUAGUAGAGGUGAAAAGCCAAUCGAACUUGAUGAUAGCUGGUUGUCCAAAACACGAAUUUCAGUUCAACUUUAAAUUUAAUUAAAGUAUUAACUUAAACCAAACUUAAAUUUAAAAGCUAAUCAAAAGAGGGACAACUCUUUUGAUUAUGUAAACAAACUUUAUUAGAGGAUAAUGAAAACUAAAAAACAUUGUAGGCCUAAAAGCAGCCACCAAUUAAGAAAGCGUUAAAGCUCAAAUCUAAAACAAAACCUUAAUCCCAAAAAUCCUUCAAAAUCCCUAACACUGAAUAUUGGACGAUUCUAUAACCCUAUAGAAGACAUAAUGCUAAAGUAAGUAACAAGAAAUACUUCUCCCCGCACAAGCCUACAUUAGUAACGGAACAUCCACUAACAAUUAACAAAUUAAUAUUUAUACUUACAUAACCAGUCAAAUUAUUACAUCAAUUGUUAACCCAACACAGGAGUGCUUUUCAGGAAAGAUUAAAAAGAAUAAAAGGAACUCGGCWAAUACAAACCCCGCCUGUUUACCAAAAACAUCACCUCUAGCAUAACAAUUAUUAGAGGCAACGCCUGCCCAGUGAGCUAAACACUUUAACGGCCGCGGUAUCCUGACCGUGCAAAGGUAGCAUAAUCACUUGUCCCCUAAUUAGAGACUUGCAUGAAUGGCAUCACGAGGGUUUAACUGUCUCCUAUUCUUAAUCAGUGAAAUUGACCUUCCCGUGCAGAGGCGGGAAUACUAUUACAAGACGAGAAGACCCUGUGGAGCUUAAGAUUCAUAGUCCAACUCAACUGUAUUUCCACCCUAUUUAAGGAACAAAAACAGACCACUAGACUAUAACCUUCGGUUGGGGUGACCUCGGAGUACAAAACAACCUCCGAAUGAAUAAGCCCAGAUCCACUAAUCUAAGCGUCAUAGCACCAGUAAUUGAUCCAUAAAUUGAUCAACGGAACAAGUUACCCCAGGGAUAACAGCGCAAUCCUAUUCAAGAGCCCAUAUCGACAAUUAGGGUUUACGACCUCGAUGUUGGAUCAGGACAUCCAAAUGGUGUAGCCGCUAUUAAUGGUUCGUUUGUUCAACGAUUAAAGUCCUACGUGAUCUGAGUUCAGACCGGAGAAAUCCAGGUCGGUUUCUAUCUGUAUAUUUAUUCCUCCCAGUACGAAAGGACAAGAGAAAUAAGGCCUACGCUACUUAGUGCGCCUUAGAAACAAGAUAUGAACAAUCUCAAUAUCCUAAUUCAAUUGCUAUUCCCUCUAGAACAGAGCUA
RNAcentral lists this ribosomal RNA (1572 nucleotides) under Aepyprymnus rufescens (rufous rat-kangaroo). RNAcentral describes it as "16S ribosomal RNA". It matches the Rfam family "Bacterial large subunit ribosomal RNA", at positions 253 to 2831 of the family's 2925-position model. Lineage: Eukaryota; Metazoa; Chordata; Mammalia; Diprotodontia; Potoroidae. The record is from RNAcentral.